RNAcentral lists this ribosomal RNA (630 nucleotides) under Enterobacter sp. RNAcentral describes it as "bacterial SSU rRNA". It matches the Rfam family "Bacterial small subunit ribosomal RNA", at positions 75 to 702 of the family's 1533-position model. Lineage: Bacteria; Pseudomonadati; Pseudomonadota; Gammaproteobacteria; Enterobacterales; Enterobacteriaceae. The record is from RNAcentral.
CUUGCUCCUUGGGUGACGAGUGGCGGACGGGUGAGUAAUGUCUGGGAAACUGCCCGAUGGAGGGGGAUAACUACUGGAAACGGUAGCUAAUACCGCAUAACGUCGCAAGACCAAAGAGGGGGACCUUCGGGCCUCUUGCCAUCGGAUGUGCCCAGAUGGGAUUAGCUAGUAGGUGGGGUAACGGCUCACCUAGGCGACGAUCCCUAGCUGGUCUGAGAGGAUGACCAGCCACACUGGAACUGAGACACGGUCCAGACUCCUACGGGAGGCAGCAGUGGGGAAUAUUGCACAAUGGGCGCAAGCCUGAUGCAGCCAUGCCGCGUGUAUGAAGAAGGCCUUCGGGUUGUAAAGUACUUUCAGCGAGGAGGAAGGUGUUGAGGUUAAUAACCGCAGCGAUUGACGUUACUCGCAGAAGAAGCACCGGCUAACUCCGUGCCAGCAGCCGCGGUAAUACGGAGGGUGCAAGCGUUAAUCGGAAUUACUGGGCGUAAAGCGCACGCAGGCGGUCUGUCAAGUCGGAUGUGAAAUCCCCGGGCUCAACCUGGGAACUGCAUCCGAAACUGGCAGGCUAGAGUCUUGUAGAGGGGGGUAGAAUUCCAGGUGUAGCGGUGAAAUGCGUAGAGAUCUGGA